GAUGAACGCUGGCGGCGUGCCUAAUACAUGCAAGUCGAGCGAAGCGGGGACGGGUGAGUAACACGUGGAUAACAUCCUAUAAGACUGGAUAACUACGGGAAACCGGAGCUAAACCGGAUCCUUAUAGAUGGAUCCGCGCUGCAUUAGCUAGUUGGUAAGGUAACGGCUUACAAAGGCAACGAUGCAUCGCCGACCUGAGAGGGUGACGGGCCCAACUGGAACUGAGACACGGUCCAGACGCCUACGGGGGGCAGCAGUAGGGAAUCUUCCGCAAGGGGCGAAAGCCUGACGGAGAAACGCCGCGUGAGUGAUGAAGGUUUUCGGAUCGUAAACCUCUGUUAUUAGGAAAGCGGUACCUAAUCAGAAAGCCACGGCUAACUCCGUGCCAGCCGCCGCGGUAAUAC
This 404-nucleotide ribosomal RNA is filed under the name uncultured bacterium. Its description in RNAcentral is "partial 16S ribosomal RNA". It matches the Rfam family "Bacterial small subunit ribosomal RNA", at positions 28 to 526 of the family's 1533-position model. The record is from RNAcentral.